UACGUAGGGUGCAAGCGUUGUCCGGAAUUAUUGGGCGUAAAGAGCUCGUAGGCGGUCUGUCGCGUCGGCUGUGAAAACCCGGGGCUCAACCCCGGGCCUGCAGUCGAUACGGGCAGACUAGAGUGCGGUAGGGGAGACUGGAAUUCCUGGUGUAGCGGUGAAAUGCGUAGAUAUCGAGAGGAACACCUGCGGCGAAGGCGGGUUGCUGGGCUGACACUGACGCUGAAGUGCGAAAGCUAGGGGAGCGAACGGG
Molecule: ribosomal RNA, 253 nt
Filed under: uncultured bacterium
Lineage: Bacteria
Description: partial 16S ribosomal RNA
Rfam family: Bacterial small subunit ribosomal RNA
Source: RNAcentral